Molecule: ribosomal RNA, 749 nt
Filed under: Idiellana pristis
Lineage: Eukaryota; Metazoa; Cnidaria; Hydrozoa; Leptothecata; Sertulariidae
Description: eukaryotic LSU rRNA
Rfam family: Eukaryotic large subunit ribosomal RNA
Source: RNAcentral
AGUAACGGCGAGUGAAGCGGGAAUAGCUCAAGCUUGAAAUCUGUGUUGGUCUAACCAACACCGAAUUGUAGUCUCGAGAAGUGUUUUCAAAGUGGAGACUGUGUACCCAAGUUGCUUGGAAGUGCACACCAUAGAGGGUGACAGUCCCGUGUACGGUAUGCAGUCACCACCCACGAUACACUCUCCAUGAGUCGGGUUGCUUGGGAAUGCAGCCCAAAAUGGGAGGUAAACUCCUUCUAAAGCUAAAUACGGACACGAGACCGAUAGCGAACAAGUACCGUGAGGGAAAGAUGAAAAGAACUUUGAAAAGAAAGUUAAAAGUACGUGAAACCGUCAAUGGGGAAGCGUAUGGAAUUAGCAAUGCUCGGUAAAGAUUCAGGCUAGUGUCUGGUCGCCCGCUACGAGUUAGGAUCCGAAUGGACUGUCUUGUAGCGAAGCGAACGGCUAUUGGUUGCACUUCUAUGCUGGGGCGCGUCAACAAAUGUCUGAACCGGACCAGAACACCUAGACAGAAGGUGGCCGGCUUCGGCUGGUGUUAUAACUGACGGGAUGAAGCUCGAGUCAGACAUGGGAGGCGCGGUGCGUGCUCUUCGGGGCUGGCUGCUCUCGCCACGCUUGGCUGUGACCAUGAUGGACUACAAGUAGUGCAUUUGAACUUCAGCUCGGGUCGUGGUCGGGAAUGCGGUACAAACGCACCAAGGUUGUUGACGGACAAAUGAUUUCAUACGACCCGUCUUGAAACACGGACC